This 162-nucleotide small RNA is filed under the name Chrysemys picta bellii (western painted turtle). Its description in RNAcentral is "TUC338 (ENSCPBG00000015604.1)". Lineage: Eukaryota; Metazoa; Chordata; Testudines; Emydidae. The record is from RNAcentral.
CUGAUAGCUGGGGGAGAGAGAGAAGGCCUCUGUCCACAGAAUAGAGACCACAUGCUGGGCAGAGGGGCAGGCUUCCCCACAUUGUCUCUCCAAAGUGCCUCAGCCCUGAUGUGGAGGGGAAGCACAUUCUCUUUGAGUUGUACAUUCAGCCCUUUGUCUUGU